Molecule: ribosomal RNA, 424 nt
Filed under: uncultured bacterium
Lineage: Bacteria
Description: bacterial SSU rRNA
Rfam family: Bacterial small subunit ribosomal RNA
Source: RNAcentral
UCGGGAAUUUUGGGCAAUGGGCGAAAGCCUGACCCAGCAACGCCGCGUGAAGGAUGAAAUCCUUCGGGAUGUAAACUUCGCAAGAACAGGAAGAAUAAGUCUGCGCAAAUAUCGCAGAUGAUGACGGUACUGUUUGUAAGCUCCGGCUAACUCCGUGCCAGCAGCCGCGGUAAUACGGGGGGAGCAAGCGUUGUUCGGAUUUACUGGGCGUAAAGGGCGCGUAGGCGGCCACCGCAAGUCGACUGUGAAAUCUCCGGGCUUAACCCGGAACGGUCAGCCGAUACUGCGGGGCUAGAGUGCAGAAGGGGCAACUGGAAUUCUCGGUGUAGCGGUGAAAUGCGUAGAUAUCGAGAGGAACACCUGCGGCGAAGGCGGGUUGCUGGGCUGACACUGACGCUGACAGUGCGAAAGCUAGGGGAGCGAA